UGCCCAGCAACUCCUAUCCCUACCUUCUCGUGGUACUGGCCGGGGUACGAGUAACCUUAGGGAAGAUCGGGUAAUCAACCCCGGUGGGAGUUUUGAUCGUAUGCUGACAGGGAAAG
RNAcentral lists this ribozyme (116 nucleotides) under Aedes aegypti (yellow fever mosquito). RNAcentral describes it as "drz-agam-1 ribozyme". It matches the Rfam family "drz-agam-1 ribozyme". Lineage: Eukaryota; Metazoa; Arthropoda; Insecta; Diptera; Culicidae. The record is from Rfam by way of RNAcentral.